Molecule: long non-coding RNA, 554 nt
Organism: Coregonus clupeaformis (lake whitefish)
Lineage: Eukaryota; Metazoa; Chordata; Actinopteri; Salmoniformes; Salmonidae
Exons: 4
Source: RefSeq, a predicted model, not a curated record
GCAGGCUGUGUUAGUGGAGGCAGGUUGGAGGCAGGUUGUAUUAGUGGAGGCAGGCUGUGUUAGUGGAGGCAGGUUGUAUUAGUGGAGGCAGGUUGUGUUAGUGGAGGCAGGUUGUAUUAGUGGAGGCAGGUUGUAUUAGUGGAGGCAGGUUGUGUUAGUGGAGGCAGGUUGGAGGCAGGUUGUAUUAGUGGAGGCAGGUUGUAUUAGUGGAGGCAGGUUGUAUUAGUGGAGGCAGGUUGUGUUAGUGGAGGCAGGUUGUGUUAGUGGAGGCAGGUUGUAUUAGUGGAGGCAGGUUGGAGGCAGGUUGUAUUAGUGGAGGCAGGUUGUAUUAGUGGAGGCAGGUUGUAUUAGUGGAGGCAGGUUGUGUUAGUGGAGGCAGGUUGUAUUAGUGGAGGCAGGUUGUAUUAGUGGAGGCAGGUUGGAGGCAGGUUGUAUUAGUGGAGGCAGGUUGUAUUAGUGGAGGCAGGUUGUAUUAGUGGAGGCAGGUUGUAUUAGUGGAGGCAGGUUGUAUUAGUGGAGGCAGGUUGUAUUAGUGGAGGCAGGUUGGAGGCAGG